AAGUCGUAACAAGGUUUCCGUAGGUGAACCUGCGGAAGGAUCAUUAACACGUAUCCAAACGUAAAAAACCCCCCCCGUGAACAUUCAAUCCUGCUCUUGUAACCCGCGUAGUUCGCAAUCUCUGGUAAAUCAUAGGCCGGAAAGUAUUUUUGAUUCAGAGACCUCUGGCUACGUGAGAACAUUGGAACAGUUACAAUCGCAAAGGGUCCCCAUGCCCCCUUAUAACCCCACAGUUUAAUGUGAAGCUCAAUGUAAUACAUUGGGUAAAAAAACCGAACAACUGUUAACAAUGGAUAUCUUGGUUCUC
Molecule: unclassified non-coding RNA, 307 nt
Filed under: fungal sp.
Lineage: Eukaryota; Fungi
Description: partial internal transcribed spacer region
Rfam family: Eukaryotic small subunit ribosomal RNA (bases 1-46)
Source: RNAcentral